RNAcentral lists this ribosomal RNA (599 nucleotides) under uncultured bacterium. RNAcentral describes it as "bacterial SSU rRNA". It matches the Rfam family "Bacterial small subunit ribosomal RNA", at positions 54 to 689 of the family's 1533-position model. The record is from RNAcentral.
CAUGCGAGUCAGGUGUAGCAUACCACUGGCGCACGGGUGAGUAACGCGUAUGAUAAUCUGCCCUUAUCCCGGAAUGCGGCGAGAAAUUGGUGCUAGAACGGAUGAGGCACAAUGUGUCAGAUGCAAAGGAUAAGGAUGAGUCUGCGUCUGAUUAGCUAGUUGGUAAGGUAAUGGCUUACCAAGGCUACGAUCAGUAGCUGGUCUGAGAGGACGAUCAGCCACACUGGAACUGAGACACGGUCCAGACUCCUACGGGAGGCAGCAGUGAGGAAUUUUGCACAAUGGAGGAAACUCUGAUGCAGCGACGCCGUGUGAGGGACGAAAGGGCUUUGCCCUGUAAACCUCUGUCGGACGGGAAAAAAAGUCUGGUCACCGGACUGGGAUUGUACCGUCAAAGGAAGGGUCGGCUAACUACGUGCCAGCAGCCGCGGUAAUACGUAAGACCCAAGCGUUGUCCGGAUUUACUGGGUGUAAAGGGUGCGCACGCGGAACUGUGCGUCGAGGGUUAAAGACCUAGCUCAACCUAGGGAAUGCCCUCGAUACGGCAGAUCUUGAGUGCGAGAGAGGAUAGUGGAAUUCCUGGUGUAGCGGUGAAAUGC